Hevea brasiliensis (rubber tree) is the source of this 1703-nucleotide long non-coding RNA. RefSeq lists it as uncharacterized. Lineage: Eukaryota; Viridiplantae; Streptophyta; Magnoliopsida; Malpighiales; Euphorbiaceae. The record is from RefSeq and is a predicted model, not a curated record. The transcript has 2 exons.
AGAAGUCUCCAAGUGAUCUUUCUCUUCUUUUUUCUUUCUGUGCUUUUGGUCACACAUCAUUCUCUCAUCAUAACUCUCUUCAUCGUCGUCGUCCAUUAUCGAAGAAUAAUACCCAUAGAAGAUUAAUACUUCCCUCUCUUUCGAUUUUGGUGGAGUAAGAAAAUCAUCUCUAAUUUAAAAGGGAUUUUUUUAUUAAUUAUUAAUUAAGUUAAUUUAUUUUAAUCAUGUCUAAUUUAGGAGAAAUUAUAUUAUAAAACUGUGAUUCAAUAGCAUAUAACAUGGAAUUGCAAGGUAACAGGGAUUUAGCACAUAUAUGAAUUCAGUUAAAUUUUUAAAAAAUAGAACUGUUGAAUAAUUAUUUGAUAGUUAUAAUUUUAUAGGAUCUACUUUAUAUGUAUACUUAUUUUUUAUUGUUUUGCCAUUUUAGGAUAUCUUACAUGAAAUUAUAUAGUUGUAUAAUAACAGAAAGGUGUGAUUGUUAUAGCAUACCCAUAGGCAUGAUAUUCAUGCGUAGCCAUGUGAACAUAAAAACUGACAUUUGUUAUUGCCAGCUAUCCACGUAAGACUGGAUUUAAUUUACCCCUCACUUACCAUCUCAACUUAGGUUCAUCUUUUUGACCUUCUAAACUUCUAUAUUGUGGAAUAAUUUAAUCCCUAGAACUGGUGUGGCCGUGAGCAUGAUACUUACACGCACUCACAUGGACAUAAAAGCUGACAUUAGCAUUACAGUGAGGUAGCGGCAGCACUGAAAUAGUUAGAAUGUGUCAUGAGAAUGGAGUUAAUGCAUGAAGACUUUGAAACUCGAGAAUUUUCUGUUUGCUAAUAAGGAGAAUUUUGUCUAUGCUUGAGUUGUUUCACUAUUUUAAUUUUUGUAAAAUGUUUAUUCUUCUUCUUCUUCUUAUUAUUAUUAUUAAAGGUUUGGCUUUAUGAUUUAUGGGUGGCCGCUUACUAUUGAGUCGUUGGUGUGGAUGGGGUUUUAUUUGAUUAUGGGUUUUAGCUAGAUUUUGUGCUUAAACUUUGAGCGAGAUUGAAGGGUACAGUCUUGCUCAGCAUCUUGAAGAUUGAAGGUUUGUGAGGAGCUGCAAAGAAUUAUGAAUUCUUUUUGAUGAGGUUCUAAGACGGAUGGAAGGAAAAAUGUUCAUUGAUUGUCAUGGGACAGAUUGUGCUGUAAGAAGGAUGCUGGAGGCAUGGGUUUUUGCCAUCUUCAUCUCUUCAAUGUUGCAAUGCUUGGAAAGCAAGGUUGGAGACUCCUCUCUAACCGCCAGUCUCUUAUAUGUCGUAUUAUCAAAUCUAAAUAUUUUUCCAGACGAAGGUUUUUGGAGGUCCAAGAGAGUCAUAAUCCAAGCUAUAUAUGGAGGAGCAUAUUGUCUUCCAAAGAAUUGUUAUUACAUGGUAUAGAUGGAGGAUUGGUGAUGGCUCUGAUGUUCGUGUGUGGUAUGAUCCUUGGUUGCCUGUCAAUGAUAAUUUUUAUAUUCCCUCACCGAUGGUCCUAGGAACGGAGCAUUUUAGAGUCUGUGACCUUUUUGAGGAAGGUACGAGGAGUUGGAAUUUAUUUUUAUUGAGUAAUAUGUUCCCUUCUAGUGGAACUAUUUUGCAUAAUCGACAAGCUUAGAAAGCUGACUUUUGUUUGCACUAUAACAAUAUAUUACUUUUUUUUUCUUAAUUUUUGAAUAUAAUGGUGCUUUCAAUAGGAUUGAAGUUCA